Molecule: ribosomal RNA, 468 nt
Filed under: Onchocercidae cf. Mansonella ozzardi LAM-2011
Lineage: Eukaryota; Metazoa; Nematoda; Chromadorea; Rhabditida; Onchocercidae
Description: partial 12S ribosomal RNA
Source: RNAcentral
UGCGUUUUAAUUUUUAACUCUAAUUAUUGUAGUAUUUUUUCUUUUGUUUCUAUUUUUUAUUUUAAUUUUUUGUAAAAUGUUUUAGUUUAUUUUUGUUUUGAGGAAAUACUUAAAAUUUGUUUUAUUGAACUGGAUUAGUACCCAGGUAAUCAAAAUUAAUUAAUUCGGGAGUAAAGUUUUGUUUAAACCGAAAAAAUAUUGACUGACUUUAGAUUUCUUUUUGGAACAUGUGUAUGGAGAGCCCUCCUUUUAAGUAAAUUUUUUUUUGCUCAUGUAUGAUUGUUUAGUUUUUAUGUUAUUUUGUAAUGCUUUUUUUUUUUAAUCUAAAACAGAUAAAUACUUGGCUAAUGGGUUUAUGAUCAUGUGUUACUAUUAAUAAUUUUUUUUGGAUAGUUUUUUAUUUUUUAUUUGAAAUUGGAAAAAAAAGUAAUUAUUUUUUUAUGUAUUAGUGAAUUUAAUAAAUAAAGU